RNAcentral lists this microRNA precursor (200 nucleotides) under Dichanthelium oligosanthes. RNAcentral describes it as "MIR1435 microRNA precursor family". It matches the Rfam family "MIR1435 microRNA precursor family". Lineage: Eukaryota; Viridiplantae; Streptophyta; Magnoliopsida; Poales; Poaceae. The record is from Rfam by way of RNAcentral.
UUAGUUCGUCCUAAGUCAAACUUGUCUAACUUUAACCAAGUUUAUAGAAAAAUAUAACAACAACUAUAGCACCACAUAUAUGUAUUAUCAAAAUAUAUUUUGUGGUGAAUUCAAUGAAACAAAUUUGGUAUUGUAGAUGUUGUUAAAUUUUUCUAUAAACUUGGUCAAACGUAGACAAGUUUAACUUAGAACAAACCAAA